This 667-nucleotide long non-coding RNA is filed under the name Chrysemys picta bellii (western painted turtle). RNAcentral describes it as "lncRNA (ENSCPBG00000000342.1)". Lineage: Eukaryota; Metazoa; Chordata; Testudines; Emydidae. The record is from RNAcentral.
AAGUCCAGCAGGAGCAAUGAAAAUGCCAGUUGACCCACCCUGAAAAUGUACAAGUUAAAUAUAAUCACUGCACAAGUACAAAGACACUUGCAUGAUAAACCUGGUUUAUUUCCAUUUCAGGUGAUGCAUUGCACAGAGAUAACCCUGAAGUACCCAGCACCUAUGAAGUAUACAGAGGUACAUGCUGUGCUGUAGCUGUCAUCAAGAUGCCCAGCUGUUUGUUAAAAUAGCCCCACAUAUUUUAAUGAAGGCCAAGGCAAGUGCUGAAAUGCAUUCAUAUUUUUGCCAUUAAAGCAUGAAGCUGAUUUAUGUGUCAUAAAUUUGACAGAGAAAUGUCAUAAAUGGUACAGUGGUGAUUUAUUUGUUCAUGCUCAUCUUUUCGAUUUCCUGUUUCAAAUAAUCGGAGACGCAUUCCAUGUGUGUGUGGGGGUGUGGGGGGUGAGAUUAUUGAGAACAGUCAGGAUCAAACCCCACCCCUACCCCAUAUUUCCCACUACGUUUCUGAAGUUCUCCCUUUUAGACCAUUUAUCCACAACAUAUAAAGGUCAGCCCUACUGCUGAAGUAAUUCACAUGGUUUUCCAGAUCUCACCCAUGCCGAUGAGUUAAGGUGAUUUAAAGUGCCUAUAGCAUUUCUGUUACUUCCAGUGUGGUACAUGGGUAAAUUGG